This 92-nucleotide transfer RNA is filed under the name Candidatus Zhuqueibacterota bacterium. RNAcentral describes it as "candidate division KSB1 bacterium (marine sediment metagenome) tRNA-Ser". It matches the Rfam family "tRNA". Rfam says of the family: Transfer RNA (tRNA) molecules are approximately 80 nucleotides in length. Their secondary structure includes four short double-helical elements and three loops (D, anti-codon, and T loops). The record is from RNAcentral. Lineage: Bacteria; Pseudomonadati.
GGAGAGGUGCCGGAGUCUGGCUAAACGGGGCGGUCUCGAAAACCGUUGUGGUCUUUCGGCCACCGGGGGUUCGAAUCCCUCCCUCUCCGCCA